ACGAACGCUGGCGGCAUGCCUAACACAUGCCAGUCGAACGAGACUUUCGGGUCUAGUGGCGCACGGGUGCGUAACGCGUGGGAACCUGCCCUUAGGUUCGGAAUAACUCCCCGAAAGGGGUGCUAAUACCGGAUAAUGUCUUCGGACCAAAGAUUUAUCGCCUUUGGAUGGGCCCGCGUUGGAUUAGCUAGUUGGUAGGGUAAAAGCCUACCAAGGCGACGAUCCAUAGCUGGUCUGAGAGGAUGAUCAGCCACACUGGGACUGAGACACGGCCCAGACUCCUACGGGAGGCAGCAGUGGGGAAUAUUGGACAAUGGGCGAAAGCCUGAUCCAGCAAUGCCGCGUGAGUGAUGAAGGCCUUAGGGUUGUAAAGCUCUUUUACCCGGGAUGAUAAUGACAGUACCGGGAGAAUAAGCUCCGGCUAACUCCGUG
Molecule: ribosomal RNA, 432 nt
Filed under: uncultured bacterium
Lineage: Bacteria
Description: partial 16S ribosomal RNA
Rfam family: Bacterial small subunit ribosomal RNA
Source: RNAcentral